Molecule: long non-coding RNA, 222 nt
Filed under: Manihot esculenta (cassava)
Lineage: Eukaryota; Viridiplantae; Streptophyta; Magnoliopsida; Malpighiales; Euphorbiaceae
Description: long non-coding RNA (MESC_LNC007979)
Source: RNAcentral
AAAAAGAUUCGUCAAGUUUUUUCUUCAAUUUUGCUUUUUUGACACCAAGAGGUCGAUCCGAUGAUGUAUAAUCUCCUGCAAUAUCCUCAUUUAAAUGGAUUGAAAAAGAUGAUAAGUUUGGAGAUGGUACCAUAGGUGAGUCAGGAGUAGGAUUGUCCGACUCUGAGGACACAUAAGAAGAGCUUUGAUUUUGAACUAUUUUUUUUAGAGCUACAAUCUUUA